Molecule: ribosomal RNA, 467 nt
Filed under: uncultured bacterium
Lineage: Bacteria
Description: partial 16S ribosomal RNA
Rfam family: Bacterial small subunit ribosomal RNA
Source: RNAcentral
GACGAACGCUGGCGGCGUGCUUAACACAUGCAAGUCGAACGGAAAGGCCCUGCUUUUGUGGGGUGCUCGAGUGGCGAACGGGUGAGUAACACGUGAGUAACCUGCCCUUGACUUUGGGAUAACUUCAGGAAACUGGGGCUAAUACCGGAUAGGAGCUCCUGCUGCAUGGUGGGGGUUGGAAAGUUUCGGCGGUUGGGGAUGGACUCGCGGCUUAUCAGCUUGUUGGUGGGGUAGUGGCUUACCAAGGCUUUGACGGGUAGCCGGCCUGAGAGGGUGACCGGCCACAUUGGGACUGAGAUACGGCCCAGACUCCUACGGGAGGCAGCAGUGGGGAAUAUUGCACAAUGGGCGGAAGCCUGAUGCAGCAACGCCGCGUGCGGGAUGACGGCCUUCGGGUGGUAAACCGCUUUCGCCUGUGACGAAGCGUGAGGACGGUAAUGGGUAAAGAAGCACCGGCUAACUACGUG